UUGUUGGUAAGGUAAAAGCUUACCAAGGCUUCGAUCAGUAGCUGGUCUGAGAGGACGACCAGCCACACUGGGACUGAGACACGGCCCAGACUCCUACGGGAGGCAGCAGUGGGGAAUUUUGGACAAUGGGGGCAACCCUGAUCCAGCCAUGCCGCGUGAGUGAAGAAGGCCUUUGGGUUGUAAAGCUCUUUCAGCCGGAACGAAACGGUUACGGAUAACACCCGUGACUACUGACGGUACCGGAAGAAGAAGCACCGGCUAACUACGUGCCAGCAGCCGCGGUAAUACGUAGGGUGCGAGCGUUAAUCGGAAUUACUGGGCGUAAAGCGUGCGCAGGUGGUUUUGUAAGUCAGAUGUGAAAGCCCCGGGCUCAACCUGGGAACUGCGUUUGAAACUACAAGACUAGAGUGUGGCAGAGGGGGGUGGAAUUCCGCGUGUAGCAGUGAAAUGCGUAGAGAUGUGGAGGAACACCGAUGGCGAAGGCAGCCCCCUGGGUCAACACUGACGCUCAGGCACGAAAGCAUGGGGAGCAAACAGGAUUAGAUACCCUGGUAGUCCAUGCCCUAAACGAUGUCAACUAGUUGUCGGGCCUUUACGGGCUUGGUAACGUAGCUAACGCGUGAAGUUGACCGCCUGGGGAGUACGAUCGCAAGAUUAAAACUCAAAUGAAUUGACGGGGACCCGCACAAGCGGUGGAUUAUGUGGAUUAAUUCGAUGCAACGCGAAAAACCUUACCUACCCUUGACAUGUAUCGAAGCCCGCAGAAAAGCGGGGGUGCCCGAAAGGGAACGAUAACACAGGUGCUGCAUGGCUGUCGUCAGCUCGUGUCGUGAGAUGUUGGGUUAAGUCCCGCAACGAGCGCAACCCUUGUCAUUAAUUGCCAUCAUUUAGUUGGGCACUUUAAUGAGACUGCCGG
Molecule: ribosomal RNA, 916 nt
Filed under: uncultured bacterium
Lineage: Bacteria
Description: bacterial SSU rRNA
Rfam family: Bacterial small subunit ribosomal RNA
Source: RNAcentral